Long non-coding RNA from Cygnus olor (mute swan), 4039 nucleotides. RefSeq lists it as uncharacterized. Lineage: Eukaryota; Metazoa; Chordata; Aves; Anseriformes; Anatidae. The transcript has 3 exons. The record is from RefSeq and is a predicted model, not a curated record.
UUCUUAAAAACAAGAAAAAAAACAGAACAGUGAAAGCAGCUGCUGAGAGACCGGGGGUGGCAGUGGUAGGGUAGUUCCCAAUGAUUUCAUGCAACGAUCUCACACCAUGUGCAAAGCACAGCUGGACGCAGACGUAGAUUUGUACCCAGACCCAUCAGUCAGCUCUCUCGGGGAUGCAGAGCUACAACCUAUCCCUUGAGAGUCACACAAUGGAGCAACAUUUCUGAGGGAUGGCCACAAGGAAGGAAGAAAAGAUUGCUACCCAGAAGAUCACCAUUAACUGCACAACUUCUGAGAGCUUCACUAAUAUAUAUGCUUUGGAAUUGCAGAUAUGCACUACAAAGAGGGAGUCAGUUCACCAGGCCAAGAACACUCAUACUUACCCUGCUCUAAUUUAACUCCUGCUUUCCCAGCCCCUCUCUUUUAAGUAACUUCUCCCAGUAGUUGCAACCUCUUGCUACCCCAGCUACCAGAGCUUACCAGCUAACCUCUGCACAUCAAGGCCCAUCAGCACAAACACUCUGCCCGUCCAUUAGUGCUUAUUAACAGGAAGAAGCACAUUAAGAGCAAAUUAAGCGUCUCACCUCACCCUGACAGAGUCCAUUUUAAACCAAGGAAUUAUGCUGUCCUCAAAGUCAACAACAGGCCAGCUCCUUCUUCCCACAUUUGCCACUUUAGCCAAAGCUCUUGGGCAAGGGCGACCAGCAGUACCCGAGGGGGCUUCCCCAACGUCCAGAGGGCAGAGGCAACAAACUCCUUGAGGGAUCCCUGCCCUGAAACCCAGCACACACCCUGCUAACAACAGCACAAGAAUCACUUUGUGCAGAUUUGGGAACUUACUGCUGCACAGCUCUUUACAGGUUGCCUGACUGAGAAUUAUAUUCAUUAGUAUUAGGUUACAGACUUACACCAAGAUUUUCAGUAGCAAAUGUGCAAUUUUAAGGGCUUUGAUAACCUGUACACACCUGAUUUUUAGAUACCCUUGCCUUCUCUGAAAGAAAUAAAAUAUCCUUACUUAUAUCUAGUUGUCAAAAUAGAGCAUUCAAAACCAGCACAUUUUCUAAAUGAACUACCAACAGUUUAAUUGAAGUUUUCAUUCUACAGAAGUUGAUGAUGUUUGAAAAUACUUCCAUUUGCCUUGUGUAAACGCAGUUUGCAAGUCUUAUGCGCUGUAUUACUGGAUACAUGCAUAAAUAUUUCUUAUCUCUUCCUGUCAUCUAUCCCUUGUCUACAUUCCUAUAUACAUUUGAAAUGGAAACUCCUAAGUAACACGCAUCAUUCAAAUCUGGGCCUUGUCAUUUAAUUAAAUCUAAAUAUUCAUUUUCAUCUCAAGGACUUGCUUCCAUUCUGACACUAAUAGAGAACUCAUCAGUCCAUGAAUAAAUAGUAAGGACAGACCAAAUGGAUCUAUCUUCUUGCUUUAAGCUUUAACUAGGAACCACACAGACACUGCCUUGUCAAUUACACUUCCACUGAGCGACUGAAACUAAAGCCUUCGUUUCUCUAACUACAUUUCUGCUACCUUCACCUUCUAACGCCUCUGCUCAUGUUUACUCUUCAUUUCACGUAAUCCAGUAACCUAUUCAGCAGACGCUGCUUCUCUAGCUUGUACACGACGAGGCCCUGGUGCUGGCUGGAACCUGAAGCACUGACACGACACAACCGAGCCCUGUCUGUCGCGACCCACCUGCCCGCCUCCCUUCGCUCCUUUACCGAUCGCUUUCCAUCCAACUGCAAGCCGGGUAAAAUUGUGUGUGUGAAAUUUCAUAUGACUGCUCCUGCAACUCCUGCCGCUUUCCCGAAGGCAACUAAUGAUAUCAAGGGCACAUUCCAAACAUAACUCUUUUAAUCUUGGUUCCCUCACCUAAGACGAAAAUUUCACACCUCCCAUACCACUGCCUACUUAAGUAAUCACCACCGGCGGACAGGGCCAGACAAAGUCCGGGACUUUGGGAUUUCUUGGUCACACUGUUCUCACGGAGAGGGGUUAUUUUCUGCAGGAAGACCGCCACAAUGGAGAACAGCACUACGCUUCUACCAGUCCGGGCGGAGCGGAGGAAGAGCGCAAAGACGUUUAAGCCGAGCACAAAGGAAGACACAAACAAUCCACUCGGGAGGUACCGAGGACGGGAACACGGCCUCCCUCCGACGCCACACAAAGCCAACCAGAGGCAGGCCCGCAGCAACAGGAAGGCAGGAGCCCAUCUCCAAGGCCUCUCCACCCCCCAGUGAGAAAAUACGGAGACGGCAGCUGAGGAGCUGCAUGGAGGAGAAAGCAGCUCCAGAGGGAUGUGCUGGCUGGGAGCCACGUACAGGCAAGCGCAAGCACAGAAAUGUCUCCCCAGCAUAAGCCUACUGCCUUGGGACCUGCCUGGGAUGGCCGGGAACCUUCUACAUACAGUGCAUUAGGUAACUGGGUUGAACUUCAGGGUUGGAGGGUGGAUGUUCCACCACCUUAACCCUAACUGAAUAUUAUCCACAACUGUACUAGCAAUUUCAGGCACUAACCUGAAUGAGCUUUUUUCCCCAAAAUUUUCCAAAUCUGAUUCUCAAUAUCAAAUGAGUGAGGCUCAGAAAUAACACAGGAAAAGGUGACCACUUGAAUGUGAACAAAAUAGACCUAAAUCUUGGUCUUUAUUGCUUUUCAUUAUACCAGAAUAUCUACUAUAUAGUGAAAAAUAAAAUGAAAGACCUGAAAAAGGAAGGUCCUGAGGGAAUUGGCAGGUGAAGUUGCUAAGUCACUGUCCAUCGUAUCUGAGAAGUCAUAGCAGUCCAGUGAAGUUCCCAUUGACUGGAAGAGGGAAAACAUUGCCCCCAUUUUUAAAAAGGGAAAAAAGGAAGACCCAGGGAACUACAGGCCAGUCAGUCUCACCUCUGUGCUGGGCAAGAUCAUGAAGCAGUUCCUCCUGGAAACUAUGCUCAGGCCCAUGGAAAAUAAGGAGGUGAUUGGUGACAGCCAACAUGGCUUCACAAAGGGCAGAUCAUGCCUGACAAAUCUGGUGGUCUUCUAUGAUGGGGUUACAGCAUUGGUGGAUAGGGGAAGAGCAACUGACAUCGUCUACGUGGACUUGGGCAAAGCAUUUGACACUGUCCUGCAUGACAUUGUUGCCUCUAACUUGGAGAGACAUGGAUUUUAUGGACAGACCACUUGGUGGGUAAGGAAUUAGCUGGAUGGUCGCACUCUCUUAAAGACUCAUGCUUGAAGGCUCAAUAUCCAGGUAAAUACUGAGGUGAUUCCCCCCCUCUACUCUGAUCUUGUGAGACCCCACCUGGAGUUCUGCAUUCAGCUCCAGAACCCCCAGCACAGGAAAGACACAGACCUGUUGGAGCAAGUCCAGAGGAAGGCAAUCAGGGUGAUCAGAGGGCUGGAGCACCUCUCCUAUGAAGACAGGCUGAGAGAGUUGGGGUAAUUUAGCCUAGAGAAGGGAAGGCUCCAGGGGACCUUAUAGUGGCCUUCCAGUAUUGAAAGGGGACCUACAUGAAAGCUGGGGAGGGACUUUAUAUGAGGGAGUGUAGAGUUAAUACAAGGGACAAUGGUUUUAAGCUAUAAGAAAGUAGGUUUAGAUUUGAUAUGAGGAAGAAAAUCUUUCCUAUGUGGGUGGUGAGGCACUGGAGCAGGUUGCCCAGAGAGGCUGUGGAUGCCCCAUCCCUGGAAGUGUUCCAAGGCUGGGUUGGAUGGGGCUUUGAGAAACUUUGUGUAGUGGGAGGUGUCCCUGCCCAUGGCAGGGGGGUUGGACUAGAUCAUCGUUAAAGAUCCAUUCCAACGCAAAUCAUCCUAUGGUAAAAUUUGUAAGAAGUAAUAUAUUUCUAUCUGUAUGUAAUAAGACUGCAAUAGCAUUAACUCCUGAGGUCAUUACCAACUACUGAUACAAGGCUCCAUGGAUUGUUUACUUUCAUGAAAGAUGACAAAAUUAUACGUAUGUAGGCUUUGUAAAUAUAUUAUUAGUUGCAGUCAAGAUUCUGUUUUUGCCACAAGAAUCAUUAGAAAGUACAGCGUUGGUGAAAAGUUAUACUUGAACUUGCCCCCAAUACUUUAAGC